Molecule: ribosomal RNA, 253 nt
Filed under: uncultured bacterium
Lineage: Bacteria
Description: partial 16S ribosomal RNA
Rfam family: Bacterial small subunit ribosomal RNA
Source: RNAcentral
UACGUAGGGGGCAAGCGUUGUCCGGAUUUAUUGGGCGUAAAGAGCGUGUAGGCGGCCAGACAGGUCCGUUGUGAAAACUCGAGGCUCAACCUCGAGAUGUCGAUGGAAACCGUCUGGCUAGAGUCCGGAAGAGGAGUGUGGAAUUCCUGGUGUAGCGGUGAAAUGCGCAGAUAUCAGGAAGAACACCUAUGGCGAAGGCAGCACUCUGGACCGACACUGACGCUGAGGCGCGAAAGCGUGGGGAGCAAACAGG